RNAcentral lists this ribosomal RNA (320 nucleotides) under uncultured eukaryote. Its description in RNAcentral is "partial 18S ribosomal RNA". It matches the Rfam family "Eukaryotic small subunit ribosomal RNA", at positions 1470 to 1796 of the family's 1831-position model. The record is from RNAcentral.
CCCUUAGAUGUUCUGGGCCGCACGCGCGCUACACUGAACAGUUCAACAAGUCUUAACCUUGGCCGAUAGGUCUGGGUAAUCUUUGAGCGCUGUUCGUGAUUGGGAUAGACCUUUGCAAUUAUGGGUCUUCAACGAGGAAUUCCUAGUAAACGCAAGUCAUCAGCUUGCAUUGAUUACGUCCCUGCCCUUUGUACACACCGCCCGUCGCACCUACCGAUUGAAUGGUCCGGUGAAAUCUCGGGACGGCGGCUUGGUCGCUUGCGUCCGACUGCUGAAACUUGAUUAAACCAUAUCAUUUAGAGGAAGGUGAANUCGUAACA